CCUACGGGAGGCUGCAGUGGGGAAUAUUGCGCAAUGGGGGAAACCCUGACGCAGCGACGCCGCGUGGGUGAUGAAGGCCUUCGGGUCGUAAAGCCCUGUCGGAGGGGAAGAAGGACUCUCGUGCAAAUAGUUCGAGGGUUUGACGGUACCCUUAGAGGAAGCACCGGCUAACUCCGUGCCAGCAGCCGCGGUAAUACGGAGGGUGCAAGCGUUGCUCGGAAUUACUGGGCGUAAAGGGCGUGUAGGCGGUUUCGUAUGUCUGGCGUGAAAGCCCCGGGCUCACCUCGGGAAGUGCGUCGGAAACUGCGAGACUAGAGUCCCGGAGAGGGAGGUGGAAUUCCAGGUGUAGCGGUGAAAUGCGUAGAUAUCUGGAAGAACACCGGUGGCGAAAGCGGCCUCCUGGACGGUAACUGACGCUGAGACGCGAAAGCGUGGGGAGCAAACAGGCUUAGAUACCCCAGUAGUC
RNAcentral lists this ribosomal RNA (466 nucleotides) under uncultured Pseudomonadota bacterium. RNAcentral's name for it is "bacterial SSU rRNA". It matches the Rfam family "Bacterial small subunit ribosomal RNA", at positions 338 to 795 of the family's 1533-position model. Lineage: Bacteria; Pseudomonadati; Pseudomonadota. The record is from RNAcentral.